Rattus norvegicus (Norway rat) is the source of this 654-nucleotide long non-coding RNA. RefSeq lists it as uncharacterized. NCBI's taxonomy places the organism in Eukaryota, Metazoa, Chordata, Mammalia, Rodentia, Muridae. The record is from RefSeq and is a predicted model, not a curated record.
CGUUUACUGUACAGCUCUCUUGAACAGGGACAGGGGGACCUCAAGCGCUCGCCUUAUAUAGACAGCAGGCUGAGGCUAUGCUAAUUGUCCUUCAGGGAUUGGCGGAGCAUGAGUUAUCUUAUUAGCAUGGUGCUGCUCCCUCAUUAGCAUAUUACCGGCCAACUGAUCCCAGGUGCAGAGCCUGCGCAUGCACAGUACCGUUGUUCACCACAGGAGGGCGCCCUACAUUCGGGUCCUUAGGUAGAACUAUGUCCAAUUUUCUGAGGAACUUAUAUAUUGAUUUUCACAGUGGUUGUACCAGCUUGCAAUUCCAGCAGUUAUGGAGGAGUGUUCCUCUUUCUCCACGUCCUGGCCAACAUAUAGAAAUGCACCGAAGAACUUAUGGUGGUGUUCUGACUGCUUCUUGACACUUCAGCUGACUCAUGCCUUUCCAUGGAAUGUCGAGAUUUCUUCUUGCUCAAGCUGCUGCUACUGAUUGUAAUGGUCUGGAUUGCUGACAAUGAAGAUUGGAACCACUGCAAAGAACUACUUCUAAACAUGUCCAUAUCAUCUUUAUCCUAUUAGCCAUCUUCCUUAUCUACCUUUAAGUGGUAGGAUAUAAGGGAGAUUGAAGCAUUUAUGAACCCUUAUUAAAGUAGGUUUUAAAAAAUCUAA